Molecule: long non-coding RNA, 475 nt
Filed under: Gallus gallus (chicken)
Lineage: Eukaryota; Metazoa; Chordata; Aves; Galliformes; Phasianidae
Source: RNAcentral
CAGGGAAGCUGCACUUGCCAGUACGGACGCCUUCUUCAUCAGUCUGCCACUGAUGAGGCCUACUGGCCUCUGGCACAUAGACAUCUUUCUUUCUCCUAAAGCUCUGCCGUAAUUUAUUCAUUUCUCAGAUGUUGAUAACGUUUUUUCCCUCAGGUCCACCAGCAGUACUUCUCUUACAACUCCUCUUGCAAAAUCCUUCUCUUGGAGCUAUAACCUUGACUCCAUGGAUACAGGAAAAGAUGUGAACCUAUGGGCUGUACCAAGUUAUCAGUGGCCUCUCUCCUAUGCGGGCAUCACUUAUGCAUUUGGAAGAAACGCCAAGGGAAGAGCUCCUGCAUGCACAAUCUUCACUUCGGGUGGACCCUGGUGAGGGUGAGGCAGGCAGGACCACUUCCAGAAGGAGCCAGCUCACAGCCCCACGGGCAGCACGCACCGGAUCCGUGUCACUUCCUUUUAGCAACAACACAGCCCCUCC